UACGUAGGGUGCGAGCGUUGUCCGGAAUUAUUGGGCGUAAAGGGCUCGUAGGCGGUUUGUCGCGUCGGGAGUGAAAACAUCUGGCUUAACUGGGUGCUUGCUUUCGAUACGGGCAGACUAGAGGUAUGCAGGGGAGAACGGAAUUCCUGGUGUAGCGGUGAAAUGCGCAGAUAUCAGGAGGAACACCGGUGGCGAAGGCGGUUGCCUGGAGCUUUGCUGACGCUGAGGCGCGAAAGCGUGGGGAGCGAUCCGG
Molecule: ribosomal RNA, 253 nt
Filed under: uncultured bacterium
Lineage: Bacteria
Description: partial 16S ribosomal RNA
Rfam family: Bacterial small subunit ribosomal RNA
Source: RNAcentral